GCGGCAUGCCUAACACAUGCAAGUCGAACGAGAAAGUUCCUUCGGGAGCAAUUAAAGUGGCGCACGGGUGAGUAACGCGUAGACAAUCUGCCCUUCAGUCUGGGACAACUUUUCGAAAGGAGAGCUAAUACCGGAUAACAAUGUAUGACACAAGUUGUAUAUUUGAAAGCUUUAUGUGCUGAAGGAGGGGUCUGCGUCCCAUUAGCUAGUUGGUAAGGUAAAGGCUUACCAAGGCAACGAUGGGUAGCGGGUUUGAGAGGACGAUCCGCCACACUGGAACUGAGACACGGUCCAGACUCCUACGGGAGGCAGCAGUGGGGAAUAUUGCACAAUGGAGGCAACUCUGAUGCAGCAAUGUCGCGUGAGUGAAGAAGGCCCUUGGGUCGUAAAGCUCUUUUAUGGGGGAAGAUGAUGACGGUACCCCAAGAAUAAGCACCGGCUAACUAUGUGCCAGCAGCCGCGGUAAUACAUAGGGUGCGAGCGUUGUUCGGAAUUACUGGGCGUAAAGGGCGCGCAGGCGGAAUAGUAAGUCGGAGGUGAAAGCCCGGGGCUCAACCCCGGAGGGUCUUUCGAAACUACUAAUCUAGAGAGGGUCAGGGGCCGGCAGAAUUCCUGGUGUAGAGGUGAAAUUCGUAGAUAUCAGGAGGAAUACCGGUGGCGAAGGCGGCCGGCUGGGGCCACUCUGACGCUGAGGCGCGAAAGCGUGGGGAGCAAACAGGAUUAGAUACCCUGGUAGUCCACGCCGUAAACGAUGAGCACUGGACGUCCGGAGGGUUCGACCCUUCUGGGUGUCUCAGCUAACGCAUUAAGUGCUCCGCCUGGGGAGUACGGUCGCAAA
Molecule: ribosomal RNA, 838 nt
Filed under: delta proteobacterium SCGC AAA007-E07
Lineage: Bacteria; Deltaproteobacteria
Description: SSU rRNA
Rfam family: Bacterial small subunit ribosomal RNA
Source: RNAcentral